Molecule: long non-coding RNA, 4797 nt
Filed under: Setaria viridis
Lineage: Eukaryota; Viridiplantae; Streptophyta; Magnoliopsida; Poales; Poaceae
Description: long non-coding RNA (SVIR_LNC007510)
Source: RNAcentral
UAUUUUCAGACACGGCUCUUGUUCUCGACACGAGAUGAUCUAACUGCAUGAUCACAACAUGAUUCUAGUCCUCUCAUCAAGAUAUGCACACAGGCCGGCAAGCCACCACUCAGCAGUGCGUUGAGCAGAAUUUGAGGUAUCACGAUGUUCCGUGCUUUCUUCAUCCCAGUUGCACUAAUCUAAUUGACGGGAUCAGUCCAGUGAUCAGUCCAAGUGCAGUAAUCUGAUGACAUACUGACAGUACAACCGAAAAGAAUGGAGUCAAUAUGCAUUCAGAACAAUGAUGUGAGCUAGAUCAAUAGCAGAAUUAGUUGACGGGAGAGGCGAAGCACCAGCAUACAUACCUCAGUUGCCUUGAGAACCACCACCGCACGAGGGAAGGAACCACUUUCGUUUCUGUGACUGUGCGGGUGCUGGAAUGUAUUUAUGGGGAAUAGAAGCGAUCAAGUCAAAGUACUCCCCACCUUCUCUGCAACGCCUCUGCAGGUCAGGGCAGCCCCAUAUGUUCAGGUUUUUGAGGGCUGGGAGCCGCUGCAGGAGACCCUGCGGAAAUUUCUCUAUCCCUGGACAGUCUUCAAUACCCAAGUGCUCAAGGGAAGUGAGACCAUCCAUCCCAUCUGGCAACGCUUUCAGUGCAUCGCAACACCACACGGAGAGUCUUCUCAGCUUGGUCAGAUCUCCGAGGUUUGAAGGCAGCGCCACCAAACUUGUGUUGUUGUAAAUACUGAUUUCCUCGAGGGAUGCGGGAAACUUGGGGAGCAGAGGAAGGAUUCCGUCAAGUUUCGAGCAACCCCAAAUGUACAGAGAUCGAAGGCGAGGAAAAUAACGGAGUUCCUCCACGGGCCAGCGGACAAUAUUGGGGCAUGAGUUGAUAGCAAAUUCUUCCACAGAAACCAAGCAGUCCCUAAGCCCAAGUUGCAAUUUGGAUUUAUUAAAUAUCGUUAUGAAGACGUCGUCACCCGCAAGCUCCAAAUAUCGUAGUGUGUCCAAAGGUCUUUGACUCUGGCUUUCCUCGCCGUCUGGAGGCAUCACCACAUCUACCAGCACAUAUGAUAUUUGUAAGUGGAUAAGAGAUGGCAAAGAGCCCAAAGGCAUCGAAAUAAGAGCUCCUGUAGAAUUAUUCCCUUCGCGACCAGAUAGAUUGAGAUAUGUGAGAACCGGUAACUUUGGAAGACUUGCAAGCUUAUCGCAAUUCUCAAUUUCUAGUUUUUCAAGCCGGGGAAACGUCAUCGAGCUAAGAAUCUCUCCAGCACUAUUUUCUGCCCAUCUGUCCAACUCAGGCAAAUCAAUUAAUUCCAUCCUCUUUAGCUUGAGGAAUAUUUGCAGAGAGGUAUUGUCUGCUUCACCUUCCACGUCGAUGUUCUUGCACAACGUGGUCAAGCUUUUCAUGCGCCGUAAAGACAGAUGCUCAAGAGAGGAUGACAACCAUACUAUUGGCAGGUCCUUACACCAUGGGCAUCCGGACAUAAUAAGUUCUCUCAAGCACCGGAACAUUUGAGGGUUUCUCAUCCAUUCCGAGAUUGUGAGGCCACCAUAACUAUGCACCUCCAAAAUUUUUAGCUUAUCAUGCGGUAGAAGAGAUUCCAAUACUUGUUCAUGAUUAGUGGCCUCACCAAUUGUAGACUUGUAAUAUUUAUAACGACAAUGAUCCCAAUACAACAACAGUUCAUUUAGAUUAUGUUUCUCAUGGAGAUUGGCCUUCGACCCACACUUUACUUCCCGCAAAUUAUACAAUUCCAACCUGUUGCCAAUAUGUCGUAGGUCUUCGAGCUCCUCGAUUCCACAUCCAUCUUCUGUGCCCACAACAAAUGUUGUUAGUGUGCGAAGGUUGUGUAGUACACUAAGUUUUGGAGGCAUUCGUUCCAAUCUAUCACACUCCAAGAGAUAAAUAUGGCAGAGCUUCCUCAUAGUUCUCAUACCCUCACGUAAAUAUUGUAGUAGGGAGCAGCCAUUAAGCCUCAAAGACAGUAAAUUAUACAACAUACAGAUUGAGUUUGGCAAGCUGACAAUCAUCGAGCCAGAGAGAUCAAGAUACCGCAAAUGUGUUGUGCGUGUGAGCAUAUGGACGAUUGAAGUAUCUCCACAACGAAUACUCAAUGCUCUUGAUGGCAUCAGUUUUGACUUCAUCAGAUCCUUGUACGAUGAUGGUGGCGUCAACAAUGUGCGAAUAUACAUAGUGCCGCCGAGUAACUGGCUGAUUUUGUUCAAUUGAUAAUCUCUUGAAAUAUGCAAGUGACGGACGUCAUUUCCAGGCAGGUUUUGCUGAAUUAACUCUUCCGCAUUUGCAAAUUCAUUUGCAACAUCUUUUGCAAGGUCAUGCAUCAAGUCGUGCAUUUUAUAUCUCUCUUGGUUUGAGGCAUGUGAAUAAGUCCAAUAGGGCCCCCUCACUAAUAUCACAGCUUGGAAGAAGGACCUCCAAGCCAACUCGUUGAAGAUAUAUUCCCCUUUUUGUGUCAAAGUCCAUCGUCCCCUCUUCAUGAACAUAACCGUUUGCUAUCCAUAGUUGAAUCAACAUGUCCUUCUCCAUCUCAUAGUCCUUGGGGAAAACUGAACAGAAGGCAAAGCAUUGCUUCAUCUCAGGGGACAAGUGCUUGUAGCUCAGUUUUAGUAUGGGCAAUACCUCAUCUUUACCUCUAUCGGUAUCACUAAUAUUGCAAUCUGCAAUGGCCUCCCAUUCUUGGAUUUGUUGUUUUGAACUCAUCAAUCCACCCAUUGUCUUCAGUGCAAGAGGCAGUCCCUUGCACUUCUCGCUGAUACAUCUGCCAAUUUUGACAAACUCUGCUUGCUCUUGCACUCCUUUACUAAAUGCUUUCUUUGAGAACAAUUCCCAUGAAUCAUCUUCACUCAAACACACUAAUUCAUGAGGUGGAAGGGUGCCCAUUAUUGACGCCACUUGUCGGCUUCUACUUGUGACAACUAUCUUGCUUCCUGAUCCACCAUUUGAAGAACAUAGUAGCGGCCUCAAGUCAUCCUCCCACUUCUUUUUGUCUUCGUUCCACACAUCGUCGAGAAUGAGUAGGAACCUUUUGCGGCCAAUAGCUUCCUGCAAUUUUCCUCGCAGCAGCUCGAUCGUGUCAGGCAGAUCACAUCUGCUAUUUGUAGCCAACUCAAUUACAGACCUAACAAGAGGAAUAGCUUCAAAAUUUUCUGACACGCAGUGCCACAUCCUCAAUUCAAAGUGCUUCUGAAUUUUGUCGUUGUUGUACACCAUCUUGACUAGCGUGGUCUUGCCCACACCCCCCAUUCCAAGGAUGGGCAGCACUUGUACAUGCUGCCGAUCUUGCUGGUCCAGCAACAGUUCCACCACCCCAUCUUUGUCAUCUUCUCUGCCAAAUAUCUCCAUGGAUUCAUCCAGUGCUGAGUGCGUCUGCCGAGGAAGAGCUUGCGGCGGUUCCUCCGCAAGCUUCACCAGGCCAAACUUUGCCAUCUCGGUCACGAGCUUGUCAAUCUUUUUGAGCACAUUCUUCAGGUUUCUGCUCGCUUUACAACGAAAUGCAAGACGAUUCUUUGAGGUGAAGUUGAUCAGUACCUUGCUUGCCACGGACUGGUCGCUCAUUGCCUCACGGCGCAGCGCCUCGUACUGGAAGUCGUCGAGGACGUCGUCGGCCUGGUACGCGGCGGCCUUGAGCUCCUUCAUCCACGUCCGGACGGCGUGGUUGGUCUCGCUCUUCGCCUCGGCGUCGGCCAGCAAGGACUGCACGUACACCAGGUGGCGCUCGAGCUUGCGCCGGUCAUCAUCGACGCCCCACAUGCUAGUGAUGCUCUGCACGAGAGUGUCUGCCGCCUUGCCGACGACGCCGCGCACCACGGGGAGCAGCAGCGACUCUGCCAUGUUUCCUUGCUCGCAGAGCUUCCUUGCUCUUCCUCACAGGCUCAACCACAGGGAGAUCUGAGAAGAGGCAACAGGUGAUGGAAAGAAGGAAGAGACUUGCUGGUAGGUGCAAUAAUGCACGCUGAUAUUUUUGGUCGUCAGCCUGUCAACCAUCAAUCCAAGCUGGCCCAGACCAUCAACAAUCCACGCAUGUGACGGGUAACAGUGAGUGACGGGAAAGUAUUGGAAUUGAUUCGGUACCAUAUAGUAUUGGCUAUAUAUAGGCCUAUAUAUAUAGUCAAUUUAUAGAAAAAGAUAAGCACAUAAAUAUUAUAAUCAUAUAAUCACAGUAGCAAACUUCCUUAGUUCUCUAGCAGCAAAAAUUUGGCCAUAACCAAUUCCUGCUGGCUCGGUCAAACAUUCCACAGCAAGGUGAAAACUCUCUGAUUACAGGGCCAAACAAAUACUAUAAAAUCUCAGAGUUCUGGACAUCAUUUGCAAACAACAAAUAAAUCGUCCAAGACCCAACCUCCGGUGGAUGCUCUCUUUCUUGGGCGUAUUUUCAGACACGGCUCUUGUUCUCGACACGAGAUGAUCUAACUGCAUGAUCACAACAUGAUUCUAGUCCCCUCAUCAAGAUAUGCACACAGGCCCGCAUGCCACCGCUCAGCAGUGCGUCCCAUAUAUACUUCCUACUUUCCUUUCGAAACGUUGAGCAGAAUUUGAGGUAUCACGAUGUUCCGAGUUUUCUUCAUCCCAGUGUUUUCUUCAUGUGCUCGAUCAUCCAGCACUGCUGCACAAAGGGAAAGCAAACAAUUAGUCCCAGUAUUCAUGCACGGGUCACAAUAUGACCGCAGAUCAAAUAUUUCACCACAAUGAAGUUUCACUAUGGUAACCUGUAGUUCACAGAAUAUAUAUAUGGCUCUAACGAUGUAAAACGGAUUAAUCAGGAAGCAAAGCCACCAUUAUUUUACCAUGGUACUCCU